UGGGGAAUAUUGCGCAAUGGGGGAAACCCUGACGCAGCAACGCCGCGUGAAGGAUGAAGGUCUUCGGAUUGUAAACUUCUUUGAUGAGGGAAGAAUAAUGACGGUACCUCAAAAACAAGCCACGGCUAACUACGUGCCAGCAGCCGCGGUAAUACGUAGGUGGCGAGCGUUGUCCGGAAUUACUGGGUGUAAAGGGCGUGUAGGCGGGAUUGCAAGUCAAAUGUGAAAUUCCAGAGCUUAACUCUGGCGCUGCAUCUGAAACUGUAAUUCUUGAGUGAUGGAGAGGAAAGUGGUAUUCCUAGUGUAGCGGUGAAAUGCGUAGAUAUUAGGAGGAACACCAGUGGCGAAGGCGACUUUCUGGACAUUAACUGACGCUGAGGCGCGAAAGCGUGGGGAGCAAACA
This is a ribosomal RNA of 403 nucleotides. It matches the Rfam family "Bacterial small subunit ribosomal RNA", at positions 355 to 774 of the family's 1533-position model.